UAGAAAACGACGCGGAUUUCACCUAAAUUUCAAAACCCUAACAAAUUUUAGGGUUUUCUGAUUCUCACUUCAAUAUCUCCAAUGGAAACCGAAGAAGAAGACAAUUCAAGGCACUCUACAAUAACAUCAAUGACGGCAACCGCUACAGAGCCUCAAACUGUAAACAACCUCUUAUGUGCCCAACAUCAAUGUACGCCCCACCCUGUGACCGAGUUGCCCGACCAACAAUUCGGUGGUGGCGGUGGGGAUGGCGAGUCACGACCACCACCUGAAACAGAAACUAAAGUUCCCGACGACGGCGAAUGUCAGGAUGUGGUUGCGGGGGAGAAUACGUCCGCGGUAGAGUUUAGCGAGUUGGAUGUUGUUGGCGGUGGUGGCGAGACUCAAUCUCCUCCUUCACGAUCGUUGCAACGACCGGUGGCUGAGGGAGGCGAAGGAGAGAGUGCUAAGGCCGAAGAGGAGAGUGCUGAGGUGAAAGAGGAGGGCCAGCGUGUCGAGACACCAGAAAUUGUGCCAGAGAUUCCUGGAAAAGAAGAGGAAGAUAAUGUUUUGAUUCCUGGAGAGGAACGACGUGGACAUUUGAACGAUAGUGAUUCAUCUAACGAAGAUAAGGAUAAUGGAGUGGACGUACCAGGAGUGAAUAAGGAAACAGAGACUAAAAUGGAGGUUGUUGUUAACUUAGUGGAGGACUCUGGGAAGGCAGUGGAAUUAGAUUUCACUGGUACGAUGAAGGGACUGGCAAUAGUGUAUAAGGAUAUGGAGAAGAGGGACGUGGUAGAGGAAACAAAGGAGGAGGCUGCUGACACCGCAGAAGAGGCAGAGAUGGCUCAUAUGUCAGAGGAAACAAAGGAGGCAGCUUUGGAUACGGCAGAAGAGGCAGAGAUGGCUUACAUGGCAGAGGAUACCGUGGAGGUGGAGGAGGAGAAGGAGGGGAUGACUGAAGAAUUUACAUUGGCAGAGGAGAUGGAGGCAGCAGAUCAGACUGAAAUGACUGGCAAUGCAGAGGAAAAUAAGGUAGCAGAGGAGACAGAGGAGGUUGUUAAUGAGGCAGGGGACAUGGACGGGAUGGAGAUGGCUGAUAGGACGGAGGAAAAUGGAAAGGAAGAGAAGAUGGAUGUAACAAAUGCCAAAGAAGAAUCAGAGACGGCUGAAAAAGCAGAGAAUGCAGAGGAGAUGGAACUGGCAGAUGGAACUGAGGCGGAGGGGGCAGGAGAUGAAGUGGAGGAACUGAGCAGAAAUGCUGGUGGGAAGAGGAAGCGGGGAAAGAAUGCCAAGGCCCCCUCUAGAGUUUCAACCAGGCAGAAGGUGGAGGAGGAUGUUUGUUUCAUUUGCUUCGAUGGAGGUGACCUUGUCCUCUGUGACCGCAGGGGGUGCCCUAAGGCAUAUCAUCCUUCCUGUGUUAAUCGAGACGAGGCAUUCUUUCAAACUAGGGGUCGUUGGAAUUGUGGUGAGUGGCUUUUCUUUCUGCUUCCAAGUUUUUUGAUGGGUAUAUUUUUAUUUGAUUAUUCUGUUACUUGUUAUUUUGUGGUGUUUCAGAUGUUUGGUUUCUGUUGAUCAGUGGACUUUUCUGAUGUGGCUUUGGGCUUUUCUUCACUUGCAUUUUUGCAUUAUUAAAUUUUUAGUUAGAGGAAUGUAAGGGAUGAUGAUAAAUUUCAUAGUGAUUAUAUUUAGGUGUUUUAGUGCAAUUGUGAUAGUACACAGUUGGAAAAUUUGAUUCUAACAAAAGAUGUAAAUAAUUUCCUUCACAGCUUGAAAAAUUAAAUUUUAAUUUUGUUUAUUUUAAAGGUCUUUAAAACAUUUACAAAUCACAACUAUUUAAACACUUCCAAUUUUUAGGCACAUCCUUUUAUUUGAAUUUCUUUUUAAGUAUUUAAGUUGUUGCUUUUCUUUUCUUUGGAAAAGGUUCUUUGUACAUGUCAGCGAAGCUUGCAGGAGUGGACUUGUGUGAAGGGAAAGGAAGCUCUUGCCCAGCACACUAUUUAAGUUUUGCAAGCUCACCAAGUUGGUUUAUUGUGCGUGAUUUGAGGUGUGACAUUGACUCCAAUGAUUCGUGUUCAUGAAUUGUCGAAAGUCCCCUUCAAUUGCUGAUAUUCGCGAUAUUUGGUUCCAAGUAGAGGCAGCAAAAUUGUGAUUACUAUUCCGCGAAGUUAUCAUCUUUUAGUGACUACAUGAUAGGUUUUAUGAAACGCUGAAGGUCUCAAAGGAAAUUGUAAUAUUAGCCUAGCUUUGUACACACCUUUUUGUGGGGAAAUAUUGGGCCUGUUUGGCAUUGCUAU
RNAcentral lists this unclassified non-coding RNA (2276 nucleotides) under Hevea brasiliensis (rubber tree). Lineage: Eukaryota; Viridiplantae; Streptophyta; Magnoliopsida; Malpighiales; Euphorbiaceae. The record is from RNAcentral.